This 630-nucleotide ribosomal RNA is filed under the name uncultured bacterium. RNAcentral describes it as "bacterial SSU rRNA". The stretch from base 1 to 543 matches the Rfam family "Bacterial small subunit ribosomal RNA", at positions 338 to 873 of the family's 1533-position model. The record is from RNAcentral.
CCUACGGGAGGCAGCAGUGGGGAAUUUUGGACAAUGGGCGCAAGCCUGAUCCAGCCAUGCCGCGUGAGUGAAGAAGGCCUUCGGGUUGUAAAGCUCUUUCGGCAGGAACGAAAUGGUUCGUGCUAAUACCACGGACUGAUGACGGUACCUGAAGAAGAAGCACCGGCUAACUACGUGCCAGCAGCCGCGGUAAUACGUAGGGUGCAGGCGUUAAUCGGAAUUACUGGGCGUAAAGCGUGCGCAGGCGGUUUCUUAAGUCAGAUGUGAAAGCCCCGGGCUUAACCUGGGAACUGCGUUUGAAACUGGGAGACUUGAGUGUGGCAGAGGGGGGUGGAAUUCCACGUGUAGCAGUGAAAUGCGUAGAUAUGUGGAGGAACACCGAUGGCGAAGGCAGCCCCCUGGGCUAACACUGACGCUCAUGCACGAAAGCGUGGGGGGCAAACAGGAUUAGAUACCCUGGUAGUCCACGCCCUAAACUAUGUCAACUGGUUGUCGGGAGAUUAACUCUCUUGGUAACGAAGCUAACGCGUGAAGUUGACCGCCUGGGGAGGUACGGCCGCGAAGGUUAAACGUUAAAGUUAGAGUAGUUAGGCGUGAGACGUUGCCGACGGACGACGACGAGGGAGGAGG